RNAcentral lists this transfer RNA (73 nucleotides) under Stenocercus empetrus. Its description in RNAcentral is "tRNA-Asn". Lineage: Eukaryota; Metazoa; Chordata; Lepidosauria; Squamata; Tropiduridae. The record is from RNAcentral.
CCAGACAAACGGGCCUCGACCCCGUAAAAAAUUAAUUAACAGCUAACUACCCAAACCAGCGGGCUUUUGUCUG